This 1974-nucleotide long non-coding RNA is filed under the name Nicotiana benthamiana. Its description in RNAcentral is "long non-coding RNA (NBEN_LNC017539)". The record is from RNAcentral. Lineage: Eukaryota; Viridiplantae; Streptophyta; Magnoliopsida; Solanales; Solanaceae.
AUUCAGCCUCAGCAGAAGACAAAGAAACCACUGGUUGCUUCUUAGAUUUCCAACUAAUCAGGCAACCACCCAGAACAAUACAAAAACCAGUAACAGAUCUCCUUGUAUCAGGGCAGGCAGCCCAGUCAAUAUCAGAAUUACCAACAACAGAGAAAUCAUUGCUGUCAGAAUAAAAGAGACCCAAAGAGGAGGUACAUUUAAGGUAUCUUAACACAUGGAGGGCAGCAUUCAUAUGUGGAAAUCUGGGACAUUUCAGAAAUUGACUCAGAUGUUGUACAACAAAACAGAUGUCAGGCCUAGUAUGAGUCAGAAAUAAGAGCUUACCAACAAGACUCCUAUACUGAUCAGGACAAGAUAAAAGGUCAGCAGAAUCAGCAUGAAGUUUGGCAUUAAUGUCCAAAGGACAAACAACAGAAGAGACACUAGCACAGUCAAACUGAUGCAGCAGGUCAGAGAUAUAUUUCUGCUGAUUAAGGAUCAUCCCACCAGGAACAACUGACAUCUCUAUGCCUAAANNNNNNNNNNNNNNNNNNNNNNNNNNNNNNNNNNNNNNNNNNNNNNNNNNNNNNNNNGGAACAACUGACAUCUCUAUGCCUAAAAAAUAAUGCAAAGACCCUAGGUCCUUAAUUUUAAACUGAUCAUCCAGAAACAGUUUCAGGGCACAAAUUUCACUGACAUCCCCAGUAAGAAUGAUAUCAUCCACAUAGACUGCCACAAUCACAAGGGACCCUGGUGUACCUUUGAUGAAUAAGGAAGAAUCAUUCAAAGAGUGUCUAUAACCUCUGGAAUAGAGGGCAGAAGACAACUUGGCAUACCAUUGUCUGGAUGCUUGUCUCAGCCCAUACAUGGAUUUAUUCGAUUUGUAAACAAGGGGAGCAGAGGUAGAGGAGGCAGAAACAGAGGCAGGAGCAGAAACUGUCAAACCUGGAGGGAGCUUCAAAUAAACCUCCUCAUCCAAGUCACCAUGUAAGAAAGCAUUAUUAACAUCCAGUUGAAAUAGAUUCCAAUGAUUUUUGACAGUCACAGCAAUAAGACACUUAACAGUGCACAUUUUAACCACAGGAGAAAAAGUGUCAGUGAAAUCAAUACCUUCAACCUGAGUAUCACCUCUGAUAACAAGUCUAGCUUUAUACCUUUCAACACUUCCAUCAGCCUUGUAUUUAAUUUUAUAAACCCAUUUGCAGCCAAUGGGUUUCUUACCAAGAGGAAGAGGAACAACAUCUCAAGUAUGGUUUGUAGCCAAAGCAUCAAACUCCUUUCUCAUGGCAUCCUGCCAUGCUGGGCAGAUGCAGCUUGAGAGUAAUAUAAAGGUUCAGAUUCCAAAGAAGAGGAAGAGGAUCCAGAAAAGGCAGCGAGUUGGCAGACAUAAUCCUUAAGGUAAGAGGGAGAAUUAUGCUGUCUUUCAGACUUUCUGGGAGCAGGAAUAGAUGGGGAAUAAGCCAAGGGAGGAGGAGAGAUAUCAGGAUUGAAAGAAGGAAUGGGAGCUGGAUUGCAGGAAGUUGGCAGACAUAAUCCUUAAGGUAAGAGGGAGAAUUAUGAUGUCUUUCAGACUUUCUAGGAGCAGGAAUAGAUGGGGAAGAUACCAAGGGAGGAGGAGAGAUAUCAGGAUUGAAAGAAGGAAUGGGAGCUGGAUCAGUAGAAUCUGGAGCAGUAUAAGGAGGUUCUGGAACAGGUGUAGGAGGAAGAGGAGAGGAGAUAUGUAUGGAAGGGUCUGGAUCAUUGGAAAGUUCUAUAGGAGAAAUAAAAGGAAAAGAUGAAGGAGAAGGAUGAACAUAAGGUGAUGCAGUCUUAAAGGGAAAACAUGUUUCAUGGAAUAUAACAUCCCUGGAAACAAAACAUUUCUUAGAAGCAAGAUCAUACAGUUUAUAACCCUUUUUGGCAAAGGGAUACCCCAGGAAAACACAAGAAAUGUCUCUAGGCCUUAACUUGUCCCUUUGAGGAAUUGGGACAGUAGCAUAGGCAAGGCACCCAAAU